Molecule: small nucleolar RNA, 131 nt
Organism: Rana temporaria (common frog)
Lineage: Eukaryota; Metazoa; Chordata; Amphibia; Anura; Ranidae
Product: small nucleolar RNA SNORA48
Exons: 1
Source: RefSeq, a predicted model, not a curated record
UCCCCCUGUCACUGGGCAAGGGCACAUCACGUGAUGUGUAUCUUAUAUCUGACGGGGGCAGAGUAAAUGCCAUAUUCAUCCCAGCACAGCUGUGUGGUCACUGUCAGCUGGUUCAUGCUAUGGGUACAAAC